ACGUAAACCCAUGAUUUUCCCGC
RNAcentral lists this non-coding RNA (23 nucleotides) under Arabidopsis thaliana (thale cress). The record is from RNAcentral. Lineage: Eukaryota; Viridiplantae; Streptophyta; Magnoliopsida; Brassicales; Brassicaceae.